Long non-coding RNA from Dipodomys spectabilis (banner-tailed kangaroo rat), 93 nucleotides. RefSeq lists it as uncharacterized. The record is from RefSeq and is a predicted model, not a curated record. The transcript has 4 exons. Lineage: Eukaryota; Metazoa; Chordata; Mammalia; Rodentia; Heteromyidae.
CUCUGUAAAUUAUGUCUAAUAGGGGUCAAAUUGGAAAACUUUAUUCACAAAGAGAUACUAAUCACACACUAAAAUGUAUUGAAAGAGAGAGAG